RNAcentral lists this ribosomal RNA (253 nucleotides) under uncultured bacterium. RNAcentral describes it as "partial 16S ribosomal RNA". It matches the Rfam family "Bacterial small subunit ribosomal RNA", at positions 524 to 776 of the family's 1533-position model. The record is from RNAcentral.
UACAGAGGUCCCAAGCGUUGUUCGGAUUUACUGGGCGUAAGGCGUGCGCAGGCGGUUCGUUGUGUCUGAUGUGAAAGCCCCGGGCUCAACCUGGGAAUGGCAUUGGAAACUGGCGAGCUAGAGUGUGGCAGAGGGGGGUGGAAUUCCGCGUGUAGCAGUGAAAUGCGUAGAGAUGCGGAGGAACACCGAUGGCGAAGGCAGCCCCCUGGGCUAGCACUGACGCUCAGGCACGAAAGCGUGGGGAGCAAACAGG